GGAAUUUUGGACAAUGGGGGCAACCCUGAUCCAGCCAUUCCGCGUGAGUGAAGAAGGCCUUCGGGUUGUAAAGCUCUUUCGCAAGGGAAGAAAACUUAUGAUCGAAUAAAUCAUGAGGUUGACGGUACCUUGAUAAGAAGCACCGGCUAACUACGUGCCAGCAGCCGCGGUAAUACGUAGGGUGCGAGCGUUAAUCGGAAUUACUGGGCGUAAAGCGUGCGCAGGCGGUUUUGUAAGUCGGAUGUGAAAUCCCCGGGCUCAACCUGGGAACUGCGUUCGAAACUGCAAGGCUAGAGUGUGUCAGAGGGGGGUAGAAUUCCACGUGUAGCAGUGAAAUGCGUAGAGAUGUGGAGGAAUACCAAUGGCGAAGGCAGCCCCCUGGGAUAACACUGACGCUCAUGCACGAAAGCGUGGGGAGCAAACAGGAUUAGAUACCCUGGUAGUCCACGCCCUAAACGAUGUCAACUAGUUGUUGGUAGAGUAAAAUCUAUGAGUAACGUAGCUAACGCGUGAAGUUGACCGCCUGGGGAGUACGGUCGCAAGAUUAAAACUCAAAGGAAUUGACGG
RNAcentral lists this ribosomal RNA (567 nucleotides) under uncultured bacterium. RNAcentral describes it as "bacterial SSU rRNA". It matches the Rfam family "Bacterial small subunit ribosomal RNA", at positions 358 to 916 of the family's 1533-position model. The record is from RNAcentral.